ACACAUGCAAGUCGAGCGGAGAAUAUGAUCCAUUGUAUUCUUAGCGGCGGACGGGUGAAUAACGCGUGGGCUAUCUGCCUUAUAGAGGGGGAUAACACAUACAAAUUUGUGCUAAUACCGCAUAACACCACACAAGCACAUGCUUGAGUGAUCAAAGGAGUAAUCCGCUUUAAGAUGAGCCCGCGUCUGAUUAGCUAGUUGGUGGGGUAACAGCCUACCAAGGCGACGAUCAGUAGCCGAACUGAGAGGUUGAUCGGCCACAUUGGGACUGAGACGCGGCCCAGACUCCUACGGGAGGCAGCAGUGGGGAAUAUUGCGCAAUGGGGGAAACCCUGACGCAGCGACGCCCCGUGGAGGAUGAAGGUCUUCGGAUUGUAAACUCUUGUCUACAGGGACGAAAAAAAUGACGGUACCUGUGGAGGAAGCCCCGGCUAACUACGUGCCAGCAGCCGCGGUAAUACGUAGGGGGCUAGCGUUGUCCGGAAUUACUGGGUGUAAAGGGCGUGUAGGCGGGUAUAUAAGUCAGAUGUGAAAUACCGAGGCUCAACUUCGGGGCUGCAUCUGAAACUAUAUAUCUUGAGUGCAGGAGAGGAAAGCGGAAUUCCUAGUGUAGCGGUGAAAUUCGUAGAUAUUAGGAGGAACACCAGUGGCGAAGGCGGCUUUCUGGACUGUAACUGACGCUGAGGCGCGAAAGCGUGGGGAGCGAACAGGAUUAGAUACCCUGGUAGUCCACGCCGUAAACGAUGGAUACUAGGUGUUGGAGGUAUCGACCCCUUCUGUGCCGGAGUUAACACAAUAAGUAUCCCACCUGGGG
Molecule: ribosomal RNA, 814 nt
Filed under: uncultured bacterium
Lineage: Bacteria
Description: bacterial SSU rRNA
Rfam family: Bacterial small subunit ribosomal RNA
Source: RNAcentral